GACGAACGCUGGCGGCGUGCUUAACACAUGCAAGUCGAGCGGUAAGGCCCUUUCGGGGGUACACGAGCGGCGAACGGGUGAGUAACACGUGGGUGACCUGCCCUCAGCUCUGGGAUAAGCCUGGGAAACCGGGUCUAAUACUGGAUAUGACUCCAUGACGCAUGUUGUGGGGUGGAAAGCCUUGUGCGGCUGAGGAUGGGCCCGCGGCCUAUCAGCUUGUUGGUGGGGUGAGGCCUACCAAGGCGACGACGGGUAGCCGGCCUGAGAGGGCGACCGGCCACACUGGGACUGAGACACGGCCCAGACUCCUACGGGAGGCAGCAGUGGGGAAUCUUGCGCAAUGGCCGAAAGGCUGACGCAGCGACGCCGCGUGGA
This 375-nucleotide ribosomal RNA is filed under the name uncultured bacterium. Its description in RNAcentral is "bacterial SSU rRNA". It matches the Rfam family "Bacterial small subunit ribosomal RNA", at positions 28 to 405 of the family's 1533-position model. The record is from RNAcentral.